RNAcentral lists this ribosomal RNA (465 nucleotides) under Vreelandella stevensii. RNAcentral's name for it is "partial 16S ribosomal RNA". It matches the Rfam family "Bacterial small subunit ribosomal RNA", at positions 338 to 795 of the family's 1533-position model. The record is from RNAcentral. Lineage: Bacteria; Pseudomonadati; Pseudomonadota; Gammaproteobacteria; Oceanospirillales; Halomonadaceae.
CCUACGGGUGGCAGCAGUGGGGAAUAUUGGACAAUGGGCGAAAGCCUGAUCCAGCCAUGCCGCGUGUGUGAAGAAGGCCUUCGGGUUGUAAAGCACUUUCAGUGGGGAAGAAAGCCUUGGGGCUAAUACCCUCGAGGAAGGACAUCACCCACAGAAGAAGCACCGGCUAACUCCGUGCCAGCAGCCGCGGUAAUACGGAGGGUGCGAGCGUUAAUCGGAAUUACUGGGCGUAAAGCGCGCGUAGGCGGUCUGAUAAGCCGGUUGUGAAAGCCCCGGGCUCAACCUGGGAACGGCAUCCGGAACUGUCAGGCUAGAGUGCAGGAGAGGAAGGUAGAAUUCCCGGUGUAGCGGUGAAAUGCGUAGAGAUCGGGAGGAAUACCAGUGGCGAAGGCGGCUUUCUGGACUGACACUGACGCUGAGGUGCGAAAGCGUGGGUAGCAAACAGGAUUAGAUACCCUAGUAGUC